AUUAAUUGUUAUCAUAUAAAUACUGCUAUACUACAUCUGUUGCAUAUUUGUUUUGUUCUGAUCUGAUAUACAAGUUAUAUGCUUUCAUUUCCUAUGCUUAUGUUCUUUAACAUAGGGGGAGGAAUUGUUUUCUGCCUUUUUGCCUUAAUUGACAAAGGGGGAGAAAAAUUAUAACUUGAUAACUUGAUAAUAUGCUUGUUGUUGCAUUAUUAAGGGGGAGAAUCUGAUGUUCUGAUGAUGUUUGUUUUUGCUAUGAUACUUGAUAAUGUAAUAAUACUCAUGCUGAUUUGAUACAUUUGACACAUGCUCUGAUGCUCUGAUUUGGUACACAUUUAAUAAAUUGUUUUCUUUGGUAUGAUUUUGAAAUGGUUUGAUAUGCUCAAGUUACAAUUGUAUGAAUUGUCAAUUAUGCCAAAAAGGGGGAGAUUGUUGGAUUUUGAUCCUUUGAUUCCUAAUUUUGACAUAAUUCACAAUUCAAC
RNAcentral lists this long non-coding RNA (479 nucleotides) under Cicer arietinum (chickpea). RNAcentral describes it as "long non-coding RNA (CARI_LNC000430)". Lineage: Eukaryota; Viridiplantae; Streptophyta; Magnoliopsida; Fabales; Fabaceae. The record is from RNAcentral.